This 1531-nucleotide ribosomal RNA is filed under the name Salmonella enterica subsp. enterica serovar Cerro. Its description in RNAcentral is "bacterial SSU rRNA". It matches the Rfam family "Bacterial small subunit ribosomal RNA". The record is from RNAcentral. Lineage: Bacteria; Pseudomonadati; Pseudomonadota; Gammaproteobacteria; Enterobacterales; Enterobacteriaceae.
AAAUUGAAGAGUUUGAUCAUGGCUCAGAUUGAACGCUGGCGGCAGGCCUAACACAUGCAAGUCGAACGGUAACAGGAAGCAGCUUGCUGCUUUGCUGACGAGUGGCGGACGGGUGAGUAAUGUCUGGGAAACUGCCUGAUGGAGGGGGAUAACUACUGGAAACGGUGGCUAAUACCGCAUAACGUCGCAAGACCAAAGAGGGGGACCUUCGGGCCUCUUGCCAUCAGAUGUGCCCAGAUGGGAUUAGCUAGUUGGUGAGGUAACGGCUCACCAAGGCGACGAUCCCUAGCUGGUCUGAGAGGAUGACCAGCCACACUGGAACUGAGACACGGUCCAGACUCCUACGGGAGGCAGCAGUGGGGAAUAUUGCACAAUGGGCGCAAGCCUGAUGCAGCCAUGCCGCGUGUAUGAAGAAGGCCUUCGGGUUGUAAAGUACUUUCAGCGGGGAGGAAGGUGUUGUGGUUAAUAACCGCAGCAAUUGACGUUACCCGCAGAAGAAGCACCGGCUAACUCCGUGCCAGCAGCCGCGGUAAUACGGAGGGUGCAAGCGUUAAUCGGAAUUACUGGGCGUAAAGCGCACGCAGGCGGUCUGUCAAGUCGGAUGUGAAAUCCCCGGGCUCAACCUGGGAACUGCAUUCGAAACUGGCAGGCUUGAGUCUUGUAGAGGGGGGUAGAAUUCCAGGUGUAGCGGUGAAAUGCGUAGAGAUCUGGAGGAAUACCGGUGGCGAAGGCGGCCCCCUGGACAAAGACUGACGCUCAGGUGCGAAAGCGUGGGGAGCAAACAGGAUUAGAUACCCUGGUAGUCCACGCCGUAAACGAUGUCUACUUGGAGGUUGUGCCCUUGAGGCGUGGCUUCCGGAGCUAACGCGUUAAGUAGACCGCCUGGGGAGUACGGCCGCAAGGUUAAAACUCAAAUGAAUUGACGGGGGCCCGCACAAGCGGUGGAGCAUGUGGUUUAAUUCGAUGCAACGCGAAGAACCUUACCUGGUCUUGACAUCCACGGAAGUUUUCAGAGAUGAGAAUGUGCCUUCGGGAACCGUGAGACAGGUGCUGCAUGGCUGUCGUCAGCUCGUGUUGUGAAAUGUUGGGUUAAGUCCCGCAACGAGCGCAACCCUUAUCCUUUGUUGCCAGCGGUCCGGCCGGGAACUCAAAGGAGACUGCCAGUGAUAAACUGGAGGAAGGUGGGGAUGACGUCAAGUCAUCAUGGCCCUUACGACCAGGGCUACACACGUGCUACAAUGGCGCAUACAAAGAGAAGCGACCUCGCGAGAGCAAGCGGACCUCAUAAAGUGCGUCGUAGUCCGGAUUGGAGUCUGCAACUCGACUCCAUGAAGUCGGAAUCGCUAGUAAUCGUGGAUCAGAAUGCCACGGUGAAUACGUUCCCGGGCCUUGUACACACCGCCCGUCACACCAUGGGAGUGGGUUGCAAAAGAAGUAGGUAGCUUAACCUUCGGGAGGGCGCUUACCACUUUGUGAUUCAUGACUGGGGUGAAGUCGUAACAAGGUAACCGUAGGGGAACCUGCGGUUGGA